AAGAAGGAAUCGAGAAAACUGGAAUCUGGGUGUGCCAAAUUCUAUCAGAAUCCAUGAAUAUUUCUUCUUUGUUUAAAGAUUGGCGGGAGAUUCCCCUGCGGUGCCCUAAUUUCAGCGAUCGCUGUAUUUAAAUGCCGAUGCCAAUGUUCUAGCGGCAUUGUUCGACAUCCGGAGCGGAAGCUCUUAUGCCCAAUAGCAGAAAUAAGCUACGUUGUAUACCUAAAUUUGGUCAGUGAUUUGCUUUGGUGAUGUAUUUUGUAUGCACAGUCGUUAAUCUUUAUAUUCUGCAUGAAGAUUUAGAUUUUCAAGCUUUCUGAUCCGGCCAUUUCCGUUUCCUUUCUUGACUUUCUUGAAGAAGGAGUUUACCAUAUGCAUUUAUUGCAGUUUUUUUUUUUUUUCGUCGGGAAUGUCGAUUUCAGCCUUGAAACCUGCAGGGGUUCAAUCCCUUGAGUCGUGUAGAGCCCCUGUUUCCAUUAUGCUGGAGUUAACAUCUAUGCUUUUUUUUCGCAUUUUCCAUUAUGUGAAUUUGUUAAACGGAGUUCGAAUUUAGAUUGCAUCUUUGUUAGGAAUUUACUCUCCACAAUGGUAGGAUAUUGGAGUCCUUAAACAAAGUUUACCCUUUGUUAAAAGAAAAAUAAGCUCACAACUUUUUGUUCGACAUGGCUAAGUCAAGGGUAUGGUUCUUACACCAUGAUAUCAACUUUCUACAAUGGUAAGCUUUUAUGGUACGAAUUGAGAUGUAUUCUUACUUAUAAAUUCAUGAUCAUUCUCUAAAUUAAUCAAUAUGGAAUUCAUUCCUAACAAUCCUCAAACAUUAGCAUGGACCGUGACAUAUUAUUUGUUGCCAUUAAACUUCAUAGCACUGGUACUGAGGCUCCUUGAUGAUAACUGUAAUUAUGGUGCCUAUUAUCGAUGUGCUACAAUAAAAGGGAUCCGCUUUGCAGCAUAAGCACUUUUGAAUGUAUGUGCUGCCUGUAAAGCCCUUACACUAACAAAUGGCAUUUAAAUAUAUCUUCCAAUCUUUUACUUCCACCAGUUUGCUGAUUGAGAUUUCUGUAUGAUCUUAUUACAUUUGGUAUCACAGAAGCUUCUAUGAUUUUUUGGGUUUGCAGCUCAAGGGGUCUUAAACCGUUAUUUCUUGCUUUAAUCCUUGGGCUGUUAAGUGUUGCUCAAGAUUGCCGAUGCUUUGUUGUGGGUUAUGGUGUACUUCAGGACAGGAAGAUUCAUCUCAUAAGUUUAUAACUUGAACAUCGCUCGAUCGAUCGUUCUUAUUUUGAAGCGUGUGUUCUUCAAUGAACAUCGCAUCAUAUUGGAUUUAGGGGAUGAAUGUAGUUAAAUAAAUGAGGCUUCUUAAACAGCAGAAAUCAAUGAGAUUUGUAUAUUUAGCUCCACACAGUAACGUGUUUGUAUUUGUUGAAUUUAAUAUGUGCAGAGGAGGAGCCAUGUGAGGUCUUAUUAUAAGGUGAAAUAAAUGUGGUACCUUUUAAUUAUUAUUAUUAU
Cucurbita pepo subsp. pepo (vegetable marrow) is the source of this 1500-nucleotide long non-coding RNA. RefSeq lists it as uncharacterized. Lineage: Eukaryota; Viridiplantae; Streptophyta; Magnoliopsida; Cucurbitales; Cucurbitaceae. The record is from RefSeq and is a predicted model, not a curated record.